Danio rerio (zebrafish) is the source of this 689-nucleotide non-coding RNA. The record is from Ensembl. NCBI's taxonomy places the organism in Eukaryota, Metazoa, Chordata, Actinopteri, Cypriniformes, Danionidae.
UUCAGGUUCUUUAGAUUUCUUUAAAAAUCCAAUUUUGUUUUCUAAUAAGCAAAAAGUAAAAUCACUUUACCCAUGUUUAUAUGUUAAAUUGCACUUGUCUCUCUCUCUAUCUCUGUUAACACAUUUAUAUUUGUUUGAUUAAUUCUUGUGUCUUUCAGCCUGUUUCUGCCUAUCAUCAUGAGUGAUUCCUCAAUACUCAGAUUUAUCAUCAAGAUCUCAAUUAUAAGCUCAAGUUUUGAUGACAACUUGGUGAUCUGCAGAAAGCACCACCAUGUAAGGAAGGCCAAGACCACUCUGGAAUCAGUCAAGGGUGAAAUGGAGUGAGGCAUACCAGGAUAUGCCUGGUUUUACUUUUGGAAAGGAGGUUGAACAGUGCAAUAUUUCUUCUAUAGGAUUGCAGUGACCAGACAUGCUACUGUAACUCUCAUGGUCAUGUGCUGGAAUUAGCAGAUAUUCAACAAUUUGGCCAUCUCGCUGACCUGUUGAUAUCAGAAGACCGCAACAGCUCUGCAAAGCAAGUUGGAAAACAGAAUCCAUGAAACUGGCAGUGACUGGAAACCAGUUGGAAGACUUUGGUCUGUGAUGUAGAGGAGUGGGCAGAGGCAGAAGCAAAGACAACAAAAAGAAGAAGUGAUGUGGAUGUCUUCGUCAUAUUGCAUGACUCUGCUGACCCAGCAACAAAGAGGAGG